GUGUACAGGUAGCUGUGCUUGCCUGCUAGAACCUCCAAACAAGCCCUCAAGGUCCAUUUGUAGAAGAAUGAGGGUAGUCAAGCUUCCAAGACUCCAGAUACAACCAAAUGAGGCAUUGCAUGUGGCAGUCUGGCUUUCUUU
RNAcentral lists this small nuclear RNA (141 nucleotides) under Erinaceus europaeus (western European hedgehog). Its description in RNAcentral is "7SK RNA". It matches the Rfam family "7SK RNA", at positions 190 to 331 of the family's 331-position model. Rfam says of the family: 7SK was discovered as an abundant small nuclear RNA in the mid-70s but a possible function has only recently been suggested. Lineage: Eukaryota; Metazoa; Chordata; Mammalia; Eulipotyphla; Erinaceidae. The record is from Rfam by way of RNAcentral.